Molecule: long non-coding RNA, 21103 nt
Filed under: Fragaria vesca (wild strawberry)
Lineage: Eukaryota; Viridiplantae; Streptophyta; Magnoliopsida; Rosales; Rosaceae
Description: long non-coding RNA (FVES_LNC001089)
Source: RNAcentral
UUGAAGUAUUGAACAACAGUGCUCGAUAAUUAUUGUCAUAAAAUAAAAAAACCCUAAGAGCGGCGGAAGGAGAAGCCCGACUGCAUCACAACCUUCGUCUAGCGGCGAUCUCGGCAUGGGCCUCGCUUACGCUGCUCGGUCUGCUGCCGGACGGGGAUUCUAAGUGGAACGAUUGGAAGGGAUGAGGCUUAAAGGUUUUGGUGGCUGUUUGUUUUCGUUUUCAGGUUGAAUGUCUGAGAUGUGGCGGCAUUUAGUGCACAAUCGGAGGCCUUGUUGCUUUGCUUCUUGUUUUCUGAAUUGACGACGGCAUGGAUUGGUAUGGAAUUGGAGGUGGCAACGUCACAUGGGAAGGAGAUCGGGGUCUGUUUCUCGUGAGGCAGUUCAGUGCUUGGGAUGGUUUUUGCGCAGCUUUUCGUGGCGGAGGAUCCCAUGGCAGAGGAUGCGAGUGUGGCAGUGUUCAUGGGGACGAUUUCGGGGCGGGUGAGCAGGGCAGUGCGGUUGCGGCAGCGGAGGUCAAAGAAAGUGCAGUAAUGGUCGCACAUUGAUGGAGGGUGGAAACUGGAUCUGGGCUCAAGCAGGCAUUUGGGCUUUGUGGGCUUUCUCUUGCAGUUGCUAAAAUUGUAGGCUAGGGUUUGCUUUUAGCCCAUUACUAAGUGUUUAGAUUUAUCUAUUUAUGCUAAAUCCUAUUUUAGGAACCUAAGCAUUUGUGUCCCUAAUUGCUAUGCUUUUUAUAGCUCGAUUAGGUUCACUUUUUCUUUUUAGAAAUAAGUGAUCACUGAAUGUAUAAUGAUUGGUGCUAGCAUGUCAAGUCCUUAACCUGUUCAAGAUAUGACGAGGGAAUGUAUGUAUUCGUGUCAUUUUGGCUUGUGUUAUAUGAAUGAAAUGGUCUUUUGGCUUUCCAUAAAAAAAAAAAUGAUAGCAGUUUAUGAACGGUUGCUUCUAAAAGCUGCUGCUAGUUAUGUACUUUCCAAAAAAACUGUUUUUAUGUAGUUAACCAAACUCUAUAAAAUUUAAAAAUUCGAAUAGAAGCUGAUUUUUUUUAUAAAAUGAAGCUAUACCAAACGAAGCCUUAGACAUUGUGGUGUCAAACACAGAUGUCAACGUCAAUUUCGGUGGUACCACAAAUGAGUGAUGGUCUUCGGUUGCUAUCAGGUCUCUGCACUCUAUUGGCAAUGCCAUGCGAAGAGUAUAGGAGAUGGAGCCAACAAUGACAGUUGCGACUUGCGAGGCUCCCGAUAUUUUGUUUUUGCGAAGGCUCUCACUCUGAUAGUUACGACUUGCGAGGCUCCUAAUGUUUUUUUUUGUCCUCUGACAUGUCGUGCGAAGAGUACCAUGGAUGAAUGAUAGUUGCCACCCGCCACUGAAAUCGGGUUUGCCAGCGAAGGCCACCAUACAACACCGCGGUCCAAGACAAAAUGUGUUAAAAGAAGUGCUUCAAAUCAUUGCUAUUUGACUUGGACAUGUUCUAAAUACGUCGAGGCAUUUCGAUUUUUUAGUUGACACCGGACAAAAUCAAGGAAAACCUCUGAAAUUAUUUUGAUAUUGGACUUUGGACAUAAUCCAGAUCUCAGAACCAACCUAGCGCAUCCGCCAAUCAGCACCAACCUUCCACAUGCCCAUGGUGGCUCCCUCUCUUGUACUGCUGUAGCUAUGUGGAUCCAUCCCACGUUGAUCCAAACUUGCGAUCCCAAAUCAAACCAUGGUGCAGCCCCGCCCUUCAACUAAGAAAAACACUCCCUUUAACUAAGAAAAACAGGCUAAGAAGCUUCGUGACCCCAACCUCUAAGCAUUGGACAAGCCAUCGAAGGAAACAACUUGUCCGGUUGAACGCAUCGUGCACCGGCGUUCAACCGGCAAGGCAAACGAUCAACAUCAGUGCAGUUGGACAUACGCUAUCGCGCUUGUUGGACAUGCGCUAUCGCGCUUUGCGACACUCUCUACUUUUCUCUCCAAUUUUCUUUCAUAGUUUUUUUUUCCUUUUGAUAUUCUUCAAAUCCAUAUGUAUAGAGUGGUGAUAGUUUGACUGGUAGCACCUUGCAAGCAUUGUUCAACUAAUAAUACUUAUAACUUUAACGAUUCAUAUUACUACUUUGAGAGCUAAUAUUACUAUUUUAAAGACUCAAUUUACAACGUUCAAAUUGAUGCAUGUCAUGCGUUAACACACCGUAACCUUACCCACUUUCUCCAUGAUGAAACAAACAAACAUAAACCACAACACAAAUCCUCUUUCAGCUUAUCCAAAUGGAACACUAAAGACAGAUAGGGGGAGGCACACUAAAUAAGGACCGUGUAGUAAAUAAGGAUGUCCUUUCUUAAGCAUUCAUGUACUCAUCAUAUCACAUAUUAAUGACUUAUCCAACAAAGUAGCACUUGAAGUCUCAUCCAACCUAAAGCAAGAUAAAACCCAAAAUAAGGCACCAAGUUGCAGUUAAAAUCCUGAGGUUUCAGUUCUCAAAUGCUUCCUUUCUUUAUUUCAUCAGUGGAUGUAUAUUUAUUAAUGAUUGCACCAGAAAGGUAAAAAAAAUCCAAUAGAUCUUCACAUGACUGCUAAGAGAAGAACGAAAAUCUCAACUAGAAAACUUCUGACAGCUUAAUAUCACACUCCGUUAGUGACAAAUACAAACAAAAAGGGAAGCGAACAGCACAUCUAAAACUUCUACUUGGACUUAUGCUGAGUCUGAGUAUAACGUUGAAUCCCGUAGAUAUCAACAAUCCCAGGAGGGAAGACGGGAUCAGUAGCUGCUCUAACAGCAACCUUUGCUACAGCCGUAACAUUCACAGGAGGUGUAAAGAGAGGGCCCACUAGAGGCAGCUGGUUGAGAGGUCUUGUUUGUUGAAAUAACUGCAGUUAUUUAAACAAAUCAGCUUACUAUAAUUUUGUGAUAUAAAAAAGAAGAAAAGCUUAAUAUAAUUUUACCAUAGAACUCCACUUUUAACCAAAGAAAGUGGAGUGUAAUGAGUAAAAUAUCAAUGUAUCAAAAAGAAAAUAAGUGAAACAUAUAGCACAGCGGAGUGCCAGAAUCAUUACCCUUCAAGAAAUAAAGAAAUUAUGAUUUUUUUAUUUUUUUUAUUGAAGUUUCUUAAACUGUUCUAUCAAUGAGGAAAAGAAAAACUGAGUCUUAGCCUAGAUAAAUGGCCAAUGACAGAGGUAACUUGCUCAAUGAUGAUUAUGAGAGUAUAUUGAUUUUCAAACCAUGUUCGCGAAGAAUAUGUGGCCCUUUUUGGGUUAAUAUUUUUUACCAGAAUUUAACAACACCAAUUAGCAGGUUCUGGCAUAAAUGGGCAAAUGUAUGUGGCAUUACUAUAUGUAUCAUAUGAAUAAUUAUCAAUUUACCAUCUCCAGCGGAGAACCGAUUACACCAAGAGGUAACUUUAUGCUCCCAACACUUCGAGUCCCGUAAAUAAAUCCAGGCCUUAAAAUCACUCCUGAAAGGAUAUUGAGUAACUUAGUGCUUUAAGAAGAUGAUGUAUUGGAGAGGCAACAUGUAGACAUUGCCAGACAAAUAGUUUCAUGAAGGUAUUUAAUUACUUGAUGUGAAAUUCAAGUAUUGGUAUCUAAAUCAACAGUCUCAAGCAAGGUUAUCAACAUAUAUCACAGAUGAACUGCUAGGCAUGAGAAUGCUACUCUGAAACGGUAAGAGAGCUUACCUCCGUAAGGGAAUUUGGUUAGUAUCUCUGUUUCAGCAGCUCUCUGUAUUCAACAAGAUCAAAUAAAGAAUCUUUCUCAGAUAACAAUAGAAUUAACAUAUGUGGUCAUCAGCAAACUCAUCAUGAUGAUUCUUACAACGACAGGAAACUGACCAUGCAGUGGUAAAAUCAAGAAAGCUAAAGCUCGGGGCAUUUGUCUUUAAACUUAUAAGUACUCUAUGACCUAAUAACUAACUUUACAUGUUAUAUGCCCCUUUACUUUGAAAAGAACACUCCCUUCAAACAAGAAGGAAUACUCUAGACCCAAAAAAAAAAAAAAAAAAGAAGGAAAAAACACAAGAAAUGUUGUGAAAAGAUCAUGAACAAAUGUCAAACAUUUAUCAAGAGAGUCCUCAAGCAUUGAAAAGUGAAAAUUCACGUCCUUAUAAAGUACAAGUAAACUCAUAGAUAACAUACCUUCCCCUCAUAAUAUCCUCGCACCAAGUAAUUUGCCAAGCCAAAAUCAGCAGCAGAGACAUACACAAAUCUUUUCACACCUAUCAUUCAAAAAAAUAAAAAAAAUAAUGUACAACACCAAAGAUGUUGCCAAAUAGACAAAGCAAUUUUGAAACGUAUAUGAGUAUGUACCAUGCUCAGAAGCUGCUCUAACUGCAUUGAUGUUUGCAGUCCCAUUAAUCUUAUACAUGUAAGAAUUGGAGCCAAAGCCACCAACACAGGAUAUCUAGGACAAAUAAAUUUAAUCAGAAAACAAACAAAAAUCUCCUAUAGGAAAAGCAAAGCAACACCCUUUCCAAAAUCAAAGGGGAAUUUCACUGCUAAUAAUAUCAUAAUCACAAAUGGAACCAUAAACGGAGUUUUCAGGGGGAGUACGGGAGAACCAUAUAUCAGGUGGAUACAGGGGGUGUCUGUGUGUGCAUGCACUUAUUGGUUAAAUGGGAAUCAAGUAAAACAGGGUGUUGAGGGACUGCAUACAACAGAUGUGACACCGUCGAGAGCAUCCUUCCAUGAAUCAGUUGAUAGAAGGUUCCCUGGAAAGGGAAAUAAUGAUUAGAGGCAUGACACAGACAAAAGAAUGAGCAAAUCAAUAAACACACUAUGCAAGAAAGCAAACCUUGAUACCAGGUCACAUUGUUGGCCCAUGAAUCAUGUAACUUUGACUUGCCAGACCUGUGACACAAAAUAAUAACAUAUAGAAUUAAGAUGGUAUGCGAAAUCAAACAAACUAAUCAGUUAAAUGGGGGAUUAGCAGAAGCUGCUCAAGACAACAGAAUUAAAAUAGCCAAUGAAGUAAAGAAAAUCUUAAAUUUUGAUCAAUGCGCCAAACAGAACCAGCAGUGCCUAAGAAGAGUCUGGCCUUGUGAAAAUCCCAGUUAUGAUUCCUGCUACUAACAUGAAGCACUCUUAUUACUUCGUUUCAAAUAAAAACAAUUUCUAGUAUGUCUGUCUAUAUGCCAUUCACACUCCAUAUAAAAUACAUAAAUAACUGAUUGGUAGACGUUCAAGUAUUAUAUGGACACCAGAAUACCCGUAUACUAACCUAUUGUUUUUUUACCGGUGCUGAAAUUAAAGCAACUUUAUAGUGACAAAACUCUAUUCUUAGAAAAUAUUCAGAUUGCUUGAAUACCUAAACGUUCCGAUACCAGUGGCCUUGUGAAAAUCCCAGUUAUGAUUCCUGCUACUAUCAUGAAGCACUCUUAUUACUUCGUUUCAAAUAAAAACAAUUUCCAGUAUGUCUGUCUAUAUGCCAUUCACACUCCAUAUAAAAUACAUAAAUAACUGAUUGGUAGACCUUCAAGUAUUAUAUGGACACCAGAAUACCCGUAUACUAACCUAUUGUUUUUUUAUCGGUGCUGUAAUUAAAGCAACUUUAUAGUGACAAAACUCUAUUCUUAGAAAAUAUUCAGAUCGCUUGAAUACCUAAACUUUCCGAUACUAGUGAAUAACUCUUCAGCAUCAAAUGGAAAGGAAAAAAGUUAUACCUGCUCAGGCUAGCAACAGACAGUCCACGAUCUAAUGCUUCUUUACAAACAUGUGAGCCAACAAAUCCAUUUCCACCCAACACAAGCAACUGAAGUAAGAUGCAUACAAAUAAAAAUUAAAAUGAUAGCUCAAUAGCAAACCUAUAUAGCCUACAAAGCAAGACAGUACCUUCUCUGUUGGAGGAGGGGGGACUUGAAUAGUCUCUGCUUCCUCAACUUUGAAGGGCUCAUCAACCUUAUUAAAGUCAUUUGAGAAAUACCUCCCAUUUUUAGGUGCAGUCAUGAUACUACAUUUACACAAAUGAGAGAAUGAGAACAGAUAAUACCACACUAGGAUACAUGUUUUGGAUAAGUAGGGAAAUAGUGAGUCACCCAAUAUAAGUAUAUAACUAUUAUCGAGAAAACGUUAAAUACUAAGAACUGAGAUGUUUACAAUAAAUAAAUACAUGAUACCAACUUAUUCCAAAGUAUAAACUUUAUAUUGAAGAAGAAUUUAACUGAACAAGAACAUGUGAAGCAAAGGAAGUAGUUGAACAUUUACAAUUGACUAUUAUGAUCCUUUAAACGACACAUAUACAUACAUACAUACAUACAUAUAUAAAUAUGUAUGUAUAUGUGUGUGUGUAUUCCAAAGACCAUUUAAUUUUUUUUUUUUUUUUUUAAUUUUAUGGUUAAACACCUUAAUAUGCCGUACCCAGAAAUUCAACAAUGGAAUACUUCAUGUAAUAUUGUAACAAGUCAUGAAUCAAUGAAAGAUUCAUGGUAAAAUCUUUCCAUGAUGCAUUUUUUUUUGGCUGAUAAUGAUAAAGAGAUAAAAUGGUAUAUACUUUUCGACUAAAAUUUAAUAUUAUUAGUUCAUUUGAUUACGCUUGACAAAAACAACAUACAGUGAUACAACAGUAAUACAUAUUCAUGAACUGACAGAAGAUAAAAUUUGUGAAGAAAGCCCAAAAACUAUACUUUGAUUGAAACUUUGAUUGAAACUUAAGAGUUUUAGAAAUUUCAUUACUAUCCCAGUCAUCGUCUACAGCCAACAAUGGAUUAUGUUCAUCAGAAAGAACAAAAUCAAUACCCUUAAGAACCGCAUUCAAAGCCCAAGUAGCAUAUAAGAGAAUAAAAAUCGACUCGGAAAAAGAAGAAGAAAAAGAAAAACAUACAAGGGCCUGGGAAGUGAUGAUCUUGAAUGGAUCAACCGCGAGAUGACCGUCCUCAUUUGAAAUUUCCGUUUCCACACAAUGCUUUCUUCUUGCUUUUUUCUGAAGAUUUCUCCGAUUCAAUAUCUCAAUAAAUGCCCGGAGCACGAGUAAUCGGAAAAGUGUAGCUUCUUCUCGCAGACGACUGAUUUGGUAUAAAGAGCGAGUUUGGGAGAGACAACGUACCACAGAUGGCGCGUAAAGGCAAUGGACAUGUGGUUCGUUAACGGCCAAGAGCUACUACGGAGGAGGAAGCAAGUCUAGAUGGUGAACCACGCGCCUGGGGAGUAUUCUACUUUUUUAUUUAUUAUUAUUAUUAUUAUUAUUAUUAUUAUUAUUUUUUUUUUUUUUUCAAUUGAAGAUGAAAAAAGUAAAGUACAACCUUGUCAUCUCGAAUAACAAAGUCAACAUUGUUCGGGGUGGAUUUCGAACAACCGUCUGGUGCGAGCGUGCCAACACCUUGAGGCGGUGCGAUUGUCUUGACCUUGAGCGUUUGCGCGCUUCUUCUGACUUCUGUUCAAGUGGGCUGUGAAGAGGGACUGUCAACCAUGCUACUAAGACUCUUUUACAAAGACCUAGGACGAAUCCUUAAGAUUUACUUAGUACCAAAAUUAAAAAGAUAUUUGUUAGAGAGGUGAAUCUCUAACAAUGGGGGAGGACUUGUGCUCAUGAUGAGACUUUAUGAACUGGGGGCUGUCUUUGCCGACUGGCGGGCUUUUGGUGAGUGAUGAGAGAUUUGCCAUCUGGUGGGCUUUCGGUGGUGCUCUAUGGAGAUGCUUUUUUGGUAGAUUGGGUGCUCCUGGGGAGGCGUCCAAUUUGCAGGUAUGCUAGGGUUUGUUGAAUUGUGUGUCCUUGUCUCGUUCACCUUGAACCUCUCUAUAUAUAUGCAACCAAACAGCUAGGAUUCGCGAAUGACUUGUCCCCGAAGCAAUCAAAUCUCUUAUCAGAUCAGGAAAGAUACUUUCCUAGUCGAGUUCUGAAAUAAAAUCUCUGAGAUAUCCUACAAAUCUUCCGUCAGUAAUUACCUAAUAGAAAAAGAAAAAAAUUGUACAAACAUUUGGACUGCAAUUAUUGGUCUAUGGGCUAACUUAUUACAAGAUAACCAAUAUAUAAAAUUGGCCCAAACAUUGCCCCCAUGCCUUGAAAUCUAGUCCAGGUUUAUCAACAUGAUUGAAGAGGCCUAACCCUUCAUUUCUCACAAAAGGUAUCUUUUAACCCCCGAAUGGGUAUAAUUGUAAAAUUGCCAACCGAGAGCUCACUUCACGAAGAAAUGCGAUCGGGUCUUUUCCAAGCCAAAAUGCAACGUUUCGAAGAACCCUUCACUGCUUAGACAUCGAAACCCAAAAAUGGCUCCACAAAAUCUGACUGUAGAGAAUGCUCAAGAAUUCAAAGCCAAAAUGCUUAGCCUUCGACCCUAUGAUUCUGCAACCAGAUCUAGCCUUAAACUCUUCACAAAUGCUACAACAAGUUUCGGACCAUGGAUGAACCCAAUACCACCUUCGAUCUGCAAAGGUUAUCACCAUGCAACUCGAGUCACAAUUUUAGCCUUUAGGGAUUCUGAAGCAAACUUUCAGAAAUGGCAGAUAAGCCAUCAAACUGUGAGGAUAGGAGCCUGGCCACACCCAUCCGUGUGCAUGCUCUUUUGGUACCAGAAUCGCAGAGCCUUAGAUUUAGAAAGAUGCAAACAGGAUGGUAUUGCGGAUGCGAUUGAUUUAAGCUUUCAACUUCAGAGUACAUGGGCGAACAGAGCUCCAAUGAUGGCGGCAACAACAAGAGUUGUUUCUUUGAGUUUUUGGAGGUCUGGAAUCUUGGAACUUUAGAGUACAGGGAUUAAUCGGCUCUAGGCGGAGAUUUUGCUGAAAUGAAGCGGAACUUGUAUACUCAAAUCUGAUUGAGAUUUUCGACUUCCGUCAGUUAGAGAAGUACAAUGAGAUCAUUAUAUUAUAAUAUAAAAAUAUAAGAACAUUCAAAUUUGGCCGAAAAUUCGUGUGUUAUAGCAAGAGAUGUUGGCCGAAACGAAGCGGAACUCGAUCGUAUACUCAAAUCUGAUUGAAAUUUUCGAGUUCCGUCAGUUAGAGAAGUACCUUGACAUCAUGAUUUGAAUACAAAAAAAGAAUGGUUAAAAGAUAAGAACAUUCAAAUUUGACUUAAAACUCGUGUACUAUAGCAAGAGAUUUUAACUGAAACGAAGCUGAACUUGUAUGCUCAAAUCCGAUUGAGAUUUUCGAGUUCCACUAGUUCAAGAAGUACCUUGAAAACAUGAUUUGAUAACAUAAAAUGUUUGGAUAAAAUAUAAGAACAUUCAAAUUUGACCGAAAAUUCGUAUGCUAUAGUAAGUGAUUUUGGCCGAAAUGAAGCGGAACUCGUACACUCAAAUCCGAAUGAGAUUUUUGAGUUCCGUUAGUUCGAGAAGUACCUUGAAAACAUGAUCUGAUAACAUGAAAAGUUUGGUUAAAAUAUAAGAACAUUCAAAUUUCACCAAUAAUAUGAGAUUUUGACCGAAAAGAAGUGGAACUCGUAUACUAAAAUCCAAUUGAGAUUUUCGAGUUCCGUUAGUUUGAGAAGUACCUUGAGAUCAUCAUCUGAUAACAUAAAAAGUUUGGUUAAAAUAUAAGAACAUUCAAAUUUGCAAAAAAAUUACGUGUGCUAUAGCAAGAGAUUUUGGCCGAAACGAAGCGGAACUUGUAUAUUGAAAUCCGGUUGAGAUUUUUGAGUUCCGUCAGUUCGAGAAGUACCUUGACAACAUGACCUGAUACCUUGAAAAGUUUGGUUAAAAUAUAAGAACAUUCAAAUUUGACCGAAACUUCGUGUGCUAUAGAAAGAGAUUUUGGCUGAAACGAAACAGAACUCGUAUACUCAAAUCCGAUUAAGAUUUUCGAGUCUCGUCUAUUACAGAAGUACCUUGACAACAUGAUCUAAUAACAUGAAAAGUUUGGUAAAAACAUAUGAACAUUCAAAUUCGAGUGCUAUAGCUAGGGAUUUUGGCCAAAACAAAGCGGAACUCGUAUACUCAAAUCCGGUUGAGAUUUUCGAGUUCCGUUAAUUCGAGAAAUACCUUGACAACAUGAUCUGAUACCAUGAAAAGCUAGAAAAACUUAGAUUAAAAAAUAAGAACAUUCAAUUUUGACCGGAAAAACCGUGUGCUAUAGUAAAAUGUUUUGGGCCGAAAUAAGCGGAACUCGUAUACACUAAUCCAAUUGAGAUUUUCGGGUUCCGUCAGUUCCAGAAGUUCUUAGAGAUGGAGAUUUGAUAAUGGAAAAAGUUUGGUUCAGAAAUAAAAACAUUCAAUUUUGACCGAAAAAAUGUAGGCUAUAGCAAGAGGUUUUAGGCUGAUAUCAAGUAAGUCUCAUGUACACAAAUCAGAUUAAGAUUUUCGAGUUCCGUCUGCUCGAGAGGCACUUAGAAAUGAUGAUUUGAUAAUAGAAAAAGAUUGGUUAAAAAUAAGAACAUUCAAUUUUAACCGGAAAAACAGUGUGUUAUAGGCUGAUAUCAAGCAAGUCUCAUAUACACUAAUGAGAUAAAGAUUUUCGCGUUCUAUCUGCUCGAGAGGCACUUAGAAUUGACGGUUUGAGAAUAGAAAAAGUUUGGUUCACAAAUAAGAACUUUAAAUUUUGAUCGGAAAAACCGUGUGCUAUGCAAGGGGUUUUGGGCCGAAAUAAGCGGAAUUUGUAUACACAAAUCCCAUUGAGAUUUUUGGGUUCUGUCAGUUCGAGAAAUUCUCAGAGAUGAUGAUUUGAUAAUGAAAAAAGUUUGGUUCAGAAAUAAAAACAAUCAAUUUUGACGGAAAAAACCGUGUUAUAGCAAGAGGUUUUAGGCUGAUAUCAAGCAAGUCUCAUAUACAAAGGGUUUUGGGCCGAAAUAAGCGGAAUUUGUAUACACAAAUCAUAUUGAGAUUUUCGGGUUCCGUCAGUUCGAGAAAUUCUCAGAGAUGAUGAUUUGAUAAUGGAAAAGUUUGGUUCAGAAAUAAAAACAUUCAAUUUUGAUGGAAAAAACCGUGUGUUAUAACAAGAGGGUUUAGGCUGAUAUCAAGCAAGUCUCAUAUACAAUAAUCAAAUUAAGAUUUUCACGUUCCGUCUCCUCGUGAGGUAAUUAGUAACGAUGAAUUGAUAAUAGAAAAAGUUUGGUUCAAAAAUAAUAACAUUCAAUUUUGACCGGAAAAACCGUGUGCUAUUGUAAGGGGUUUUGGGCCGAAAUCAAGCAGAAUUGGUAUACACUAAUCCAAUUGCGAUUUUCGGGUUCCGUCAGUUCGAAAAAUUCUUAGAGAUAAUGAUUUGAUAAUAGAAAAAGUUUGGUUCAGAAAUAAAAAUAUUCAAUUUUGAAGGGAAAAACCAUGUGCUAUAACAAAAGGUUUUAGGCUGAUAUCAAGCAAGUCUCAUUUACAGUAAUCGGAUUAAGAUUUUCGCGUUUUGUUUGCUCGAGAGGCACUGAGAAAAGAUGAUUUGAUAAUAGGAAAAGUUUGGUUCAAAAAUAAGAAUAUUCAAUUUUGACCGGAAAAACCGUGUGCUAUAGCAAGAGAUUUUAGGCCAAAAUUAAGCGGAACUCGUAUAUACUAAUCCAAUUAAGAUUUUGGGGUUCCGUCAAUUCGAGAAGUUCUUAGAGAUGAUGAUUUGAUAAUAGUAAAAGUUUGGUUCCAAAAUAAGAACAUUCAAUUUUGUCCAGAAAAACCGUGUGUUAUAAUAAGGGGUUUUGGGCCGUAAUCAAGCCGAACUCGUAUACACUAAUCCAAUUGAGAUUUUGGGGUUCAGUCAGUUCGAGAAGUUCUUAGAUAUGAUGAUUUGAUAACAGAAAAAUUUUCGUUCAAAAAUAAGAACUUUCAAUUUUGUCCAGAAAAACCGUGUGCUAUAGUAAGGGGUUUCAGGCCAAAAUCAAGCCGUACUCGUAUACACUAAUCCAAUUGAGAUUUUGGGGUUCUGUCACCUCGAGAAGUUCUUAGAGAUAACGAUUUGAUUAUAAGAAAAAGUUUUCGUUAAAAAAAUAAGAACAUUUCAAUUUUGACCAAGAAAAACCGUGUGCUAUAGUAAGGGGUUGAGGCAGAAAUCAAACCGAACUCGUAUACACUAAUCUAAUUGAGUAUUUUGGGGUUAGCAGUUCGAGAAGUUCUUAGAGAUGCUGAUUUGAANNNNNNNNNNNNNNNNNNNNNNNNNNNNNNNNNNNNNNNNNNNNNNNNNNNNNNNNNNNNNNNNNNNNNNNNNNNNNNNNNNNNNNNNNNNNNNNNNNNNNNNNNNNNNNNNNNNNNNNNNNNNNNNNNNNNNNNNNNNNNNNNNNNNNNNNNNNNNNNNNNNNNNNNNNNNNNNNNNNNNNNNNNNNNNNNNNNNNNNNNNNNNNNNNNNNNNNNNNNNNNNNNNNNNNNNNNNNNNNNNNNNNNNNNNNNNNNNNNNNNNNNNNNNNNNNNNNNNNNNNNNNNNNNNNNNNNNNNNNNNNNNNNNNNNNNNNNNNNNNNNNNNNNNNNNNNNNNNNNNNNNNNNNNNNNNNNNNNNNNNNNNNNNNNNNNNNNNNNNNNNNNNNNNNNNNNNNNNNNNNNNNNNNNNNNNNNNNNNNNNNNNNNNNNNNNNNNNNNNNNNNNNNNNNNNNNNNNNNNNNNNNNNNNNNNNNNNNNNNNNNNNNNNNNNNNNNNNNNNNNNNNNNNNNNNNNNNNNNNNNNNNNNNNNNNNNNNNNNNNNNNNNNNNNNNNNNNNNNNNNNNNNNNNNNNNNNNNNNNNNNNNNNNNNNUCGUAUACACUAAUCCAAUUGAGUAUUUUGGGGUUUCCGGUCUAGCUCGAGAAGUUCUUAGAGUAUGAUGAUUGAAAUANACAAGUUGUNUAAUAGACAUCCAUUUGACCGGUAAAACGUGUNCUNAGUUAAGGGUUUCUACCGAAUCAGCCAACUCGUAUACACUAAUCCAAUUGAGAUUUUGUGGUUCCGUUAGUUCUAGAAGUUCUUAGAGAUGAUGAUUUGAUAAUAGAAAAAUUUUGGUUCCAAAAUACGUACAUUCGGUUUUGACCGGAAAAACCGUGUGCUAUGGCAAGGGGUUUCGGGCCGAAAUCACGCCGAACUCGUAUACACCAAUCCAAUUGAGAUUUUGGGGUUCCGUCAGUUCAACAAGUUCUUAGAGAUGAUGAUUUGAUAAUAGAAAAAGUUUUGUUCAAAAAUAAGAACAUUCAAUUUUGUCCAGAAAAACCGUGUGCUAAGCAAGGAGUUUUGGGCUGAAAUCAAGCUGAACUCGUAUACACUAAUCCAAUUGAGAUUUUGGGGUUCCUCAGUUCGAGAGGUUCUUAGAGAUGAUGAUUUGACAAUAGAAUAAGGUUCGUUCAAAAAUAAGAACAUUCAAUUUUGACUUGAAAAACCGUGUGCUAUAGUAAGUGGUUUUGUUCCGAAAUCAAGCCGAACUCGUAUAUAGUAAUCCUAUUGAGAUUUUCGGGUUCCGUUAGUUCAAGAAGUUCUUUGAGAUGAUGAUUUGAUUAUGUCGAUUCUUUUGAGUAAUAUAUCUGGAAAUGCCCGUUGAUUCCUUAUUAAGACGAUUUCGAACACAACUGGUACAUUCCAAAAUCACCGUUACUCGGACAUCUUUACCCUUGGCCAUGAGCCUCCUUUAGUUUUUGAUUCAUUCAAUACUUUAAAUUUCCGAUCCGAAAUGAGGAAGAAGAAAGGAACAAAAAAACAGGUAACUCGAAAUCUAAUUAUGAAAGAAAGAUUUUGUUGCAAUAAAUCAAUAUAUUAAUAAGUAAGUAAUAUAAUGAUUUCUAACUAUAUUACAUUACUAGAUUUAUAAUUUUAAAUUUCCGAACAACAUUUCAUUUUUAUUUAAGUAUCUUGUAUGAUAUUGUUGCCCCAAGCCGGGUUUGAAAUGAUCCAUGUUACGGAACCAAGACAAUCUAUCUUACUAAUAAAAAAUAACUCUAUAUUUUUCUUGCUUUCUUUCAACCUCGUUGAUAUAAACAUUGUUUGUACCGUAAGACUUUAUAGAAAAAGUUUGGUUCAAAAAUAAGAAAACUCAAUUUUGAUCGGAAAAGCGUGUGAUAGUAAGGGGUUUUGGGCCGAAAUCAACCUGAACUCGUAUACACUAAUCCAAUUGAGAUUUUCGGGUUCUGUCAGUUCGAGAAUUUCUUAGAGAUGAUGAUUUGAUAAUAGAAAAAGUUUCGUUCAAAAAUAAGAACAUUCAAUUUUGACCAGAAAAACCAUGUGUUAUAGUAAGGGGUUUUUGGCCGAAAUCAAGCCGAACUCGUAUACACUAAUNNNNNNNNNNNNNNNNNNNNNNNNNNNNNNNNNNNNNNNNNNNNNNNNNNNNNNNNNNNNNNNNNNNNNNNNNNNNNNNNNNNNNNNNNNNNNNNNNNNNNNNNNNNNNNNNNNNNNNNNNNNNNNNNNNNNNNNNNNNNNNNNNNNNNNNNNNNNNNNNNNNNNNNNNNNNNNNNNNNNNNNNNNNNNNNNNNNNNNNNNNNNNNNNNNNNNNNNNNNNNNNNNNNNNNNNNNNNNNNNNNNNNNNNNNNNNNNNNNNNNNNNNNNNNNNNNNNNNNNNNNNNNNNNNNNNNNNNNNNNNNNNNNNNNNNNNNNGUUCGAGAAGUUUUUAGAGAUGAUGAUUUGAUAAUUGAAAAAGAUUCGUUCCAAAGUAAGAUAUUCAAUUUUGACCAGAGAAACCGUGUACUAUAGCAAGCGGUUUUAGGCCGAAAUCAAGCCGAACUCUUAUACACUAAUGCAAUCGAGAUUUUGGGGUUCCGUCAGUUCGACAAGUUCUUAGAGAUGAUAGUUUGAUAAUAGAAAAAUUUUCGUUCAAAAAUAAGAACAUUCAAUUUUGACCAGAAAAACGUGUGCUGUAGUAAGCCGUUUUAGGCCGAAAUCAAGCCGAACUCGUAUACACUAAUCCAAUUGAGAUUUUGGAGUUCCGUCAGUUCGACAAGUUCUUAGAGAUGAUGAUUUGACAAUAGAAAAAGUUUCGGUCAAAAAUAAGAACAUUCAAUUUUGUCCAGAAAAACAGUGUGCUAUAGCAAGGAGUUUUGGGCCGAAAUCAGGCCGAACUCCUAUACACUAAUCCAAUUGAAAUUUUGGGGUUCCUUAGUUCGAGAAGUUGUUAGAGAUAAUGAUUUGAUAAUAGAAAAAGUUUGGUUGAAAAAUAAGAAUAUUAAAUUUUGACAAAAAAAAUACGUGUGUUAUAGUAAGAGGUUUUAGGCUAAUACCAAGCAAGUCUCAUACACACUAAUCAGAUUAAUAUUUUCGUGUUAUGUCAGGUGCUUAGAAAUAAUGAUUUGAUAAUAGAAAAAGUUUGGUUCAAAAAUAAGAAUAUUCAAUUAUGACUGGAAAAACCGUGUGCUAUAAGAAGGAGUUUUAGGCUUAAAUCAAGCGAAACUCGUAUAGAUUAAUCGGAUUAAGAUUUUCGUGUUCCGUCAGCUCGAGAGGUACUUAGAAAUAAUGAUUUGAUAAUAGAAAAAGUUUGGUUCAAAAAUAAGAAUAUUCAAUUGUGACUAGAAAAACCGUGUGUUAGAGCGAGGGGUUUUGGGCCGAAAUCAAGCGGAACUCGUAUACACUAAUGAGAUUAAGAUUGUCGUGUUCCGUCAGCUCAUGAGGUACUUAGAAAUGAUGAUUUGAUAAUAGAAAAAGUUUGGUUCCAAAAAUGAGAACAUUAAAUUUUGACAAGAAAAACCGUGUGUUAUAGUAAGAGGUUUUAGGUUGAUACCAAGCGGAAAUCGUACACACUAAUCAGAUUAAGAUUUUCAUGUUCUGUCAGCUUGAGAGGUACUUAGAAAUGAUGAUUUGAUAAUAGAAAAAAUUUGGUUAAAAAAUAAGAACAUUUAAUUUUGACAGUAAAAGCUUGUGUUAUAGUAAGAGAUUUUAGGCUGAUACCAAGCAAGUCUCAUAGACACUAAUCGGAUUAAGAUUUUCGUGUUCCAUCAGCUCGAGAGGUACUUAGAAAUGAUGAUUUGAUAAUAGAAAAAGUUUGGUUCAAAAAUAAGAACAUUCAAUUAUGACCAGAAAAACCGUGUGCUAUGCAAUGGGUUUUGGGCCGAAAUCAAGCGAAACUCGUAUACACUAAUGGGAUUAAGAUUUUCGUGUUCCGUUAGCUCGAGAGGUACCUAGAAAUGAUGAUUUGAUAAUAGAAAAUGUGUUUGGUUCAAAAACAAGAACAUUCAAUUUUGACCAGAAAAUCCGUGUGUUAGAGCAAGAGUUUAUGGACCGAAAUCAAGCGGAACUCAUAUACACUAAUGGGAUUAAGAGAUUUUUGUGUUCUGUCAGCUCGAGAGGUACUUAAAUAUGAUGAUUUGAUAAUAGAAAAUGUUUGGUAAAAAAUAAGAACAUUCAAUUUUGACCAGAAAAUCUGUGUGCUAUAGCAAGGGGUUUGAGGCCAAAAUCAAGCGAAACUCGUAUACAGUAAUGAGAUUAAGAUUUUUGUGUUCCGUCAGCUCGAGAGGUACUUAGAUAUGAUAAUUUGAUAAUAGAAAAAGUUUGGUUCAAAAAUAAGAACAUUUAAUUUUGACCAGAAAAACCGUGUGCUAUAGGAAAGGGUUUUGGGCCGAAAUUAUGCGGGACUUGUAUAUACUAAUCGGAUUAAGAUUUUCGUGUUCCGUCAACUCUAGAGAUACUUAGAAAUGAUGAUUUGAUAAUAGAAAAAGUUUGGUUGAAAAAUAAAAACAUUCAAUUUUGACCAGAAAAACCGUGUGCUAUGGCAAAGGGUUUUGUGCCGAAAUCAAGCGAAACUCGUAUACACUAAUCGGAUUAAGAUUUUCAUGUUUUGUUAGCUCGAGAGGUACUUAGAAAUGAUGAUUUAAUAAUAGAAAAAGUUUAGUUCAAAAAUAAGAACAUUCAAUUUGGACCAGAAAAAACGUGUGCUAUAGCAAAGGGUUGUCAAGUGUUCAAUUCUUGUCAAGGGAGAGUUGUAAGCUAAGGAGCCACACUUGGAAUCAUAUUUAAGACUGACAACGAUAUAUAUACAUAUAUCAUAUAAAAGAAAUAUCAUAACAAAAUGCAUUAAAUCAUAAUGAAAUCUCCACUCAUUAAGGUAUAAGAACAUUACACUUUUGAUCAUGUCCAUUUACAUGUUAAUUAUAGUUCGUCAUAAUGAUCAUAUUUCGUUAAUUUAUUGUAAUUGAUAUCUAAUCUUACUUAAUGAGUGUGUUUGUUAGAUCAAUUGGUAUAAUUGAUCACUUAUUUGUUCAAAGAGCAUUAAUUGAUAUCUAAUCUGACACAAUCCCUACUUGCUUAUCCCUACGCCCCAUAAUAAGGCGUAGUACUACCCGCACGAAGCGGUAAAAGAAAUCACCAUCAUUCCUCUUGAAGCGGAAAAGUCACCAUCACUCAACAAAACGGUAUAACAUCUAGAAACCUAUAAACAUCAUUCAAUGCAAAUACGUUUAGUUGAGUACAUGGCAUUAAAUCCGCCAAGUAUAUAAUAUCCAAAUGACACAAUGAAUCCACCAGGUUAUGUCAUCAAUACAGCAGUCCAUAGUCAGUUAUUUGAAUAAACCAUACCAAAGGAUAAACCAGUUUCUUUGAUACUGAUGUAAACCAUCCAAAACAACCAAGCAGUAUAUAUAUAUUUAUCAACAAAGUCCAGAAAAUUCCAUAACACAUAUCUGCAUCCUUGAGAGCAUUGCAUUGCAUUACUCAGACUUUAAUCAAUUCAAGAAACAGAAUUAAUAACAAAAUAUCCUACAAAGGAUAUAGCUUCACUUUGUUUGUUCAUUAUUCUUUCAACCUGCAACUUCUGCAAACAACUCAAACAAAGAAUCAGUAGUGAUAGUGUCCUUUUUCUGUUAAAACAAUAACAGUAAGAAAAUAAUCAGAAUGAAAGGAGUCCUUUUACAGUUAUAGGCAAAGUUGAGUUUCGAUCACAAUUUCAAUGAAAGAACCGGCAAAAUAGAAUUGAUGUCAUAACGGCAACUAUGCCGAGAGCCAUCCUGAGCUAACUUUGGUGCAAGUGGAGUAAAUGUGCAUAUUUGUUGUUGAGCUGAAUUUCACAUUCAGCGGACAACAACAAUGAUGUUACUUGUUCUAAAUCAACAUUACGUUUGCUUCUGAUAAUUUGUGUAGUAGAGCCAUACUGACUUGAAAGUCCAGAAAGAAUAAUUAGCAGGGGACGCACCUGGUUUGUCAGCUCCUCAGUUUCCUCUUCUGCCUCAUCACUAUCUAAGGCGUCAUCUAUAGCGUCGGACAUCAUUUCAGUGUGCAAGGUUUAAACUGUUAUAAUCUGCAUAAAAAACAAAAGUAUAUGAACAUGAUUUUGUGCCAGAAAUCUUACAGUCAUAUCUUGCUUUGCAGGAGCCAUUUGCUGCAACAUGACAUGAAAAUUUACUCAUUAGAACAAUGGGAAGCACUAUAGGAAAAGGACAUUCUCUUGGACUUAAUUUACACGGGGAAGAUAUUUUGUUUGGGAAAGAAGAAUGAUGACUUGGCUCCAUGAGUGAUGAGCGAUGAUGGAGCUUCUUUUAUACUAAUGCAUCUCAUUGGAGCCAGUUUCAAAAUCUUGCAACAUAUUGUUGCUUAAAAGUUAUAACAGCAAACUAUAUCAGAAAUGGUUGAAUGUUACAGACUAACCUUAUUCAUAGCUGCCAUCGCCUUACUAGCACCUUUCAUGCCAGCUGCAACUCAUGACUGGGCGGGCAUUGCCUGCAGGAAGAUAAUUUUAUACUAAGACCGCAACAACAGACCAGCACAAAAAACUGAAUCAGGAUAAAUGUCAUAUAGAGAUUGCGAGUUGACAGCCGACCUGCGUAUGAGUUGCAAUUCCUCUCAUUUGAGCCCUACUUCCUUGUAAGUUAGCUAUCUGUUGCCUGAGCCUGAUUAGCUGCCUGGCCAGUAUCUUAGUUGCUCCCUGCAGAAUUUAACGAAAAAAGGUUGAAGGUUAUACCAACCGACUAUGACAAAAUACAAUGUCAUUCAGUAUUCAUGUACUGAAAAUAACAGUCAAAUACAACAGAGAACAUACAUCAUUUCCUGUUUUAGCAGUUCUCUUUAUCUCAUCAACAAGCUUCUUCUCCUGCCAGGACAGUAAAAUAUAUUCAAUCUAAAGCCAGUAAAACAAAGAUAUGUUAACCAAGUAAGAGCGUUUACUGCAAGCUCUUGACAUAUCUCUAAUUACAAUGCUCCAAUUUCCUUCUCUAUCCCUGUAGCAACAAGGGGAAUGAAAAGCAAAUAAAAUGUUCAAAAUGAUGCCACCUUCUAAACAAUUCGCAAUACCACUAAACCACAAAAGAUUGAACUAAAGCAGAAUCAGGGAAACAUGUCAUAACAAGCUGAUGCUAUCCAAUCCAGAAUAUCUAUGUGUGUGUACCGGUGAAAACUACUAGUCAUCCGGACAAAUCAACAAGCUAUAAAUAACAGACCUAACCGCAAAUCUGAUCCAUUCUAAAUAAGCAGAAUCAUGCAAAUGUGUCAUAACAAGUCGAUGAUAUUCCAUCCACACUACCCUUAUUCAUGUCUAAACACACUGGUUCUGGCCAGUAAGAGUACUUCCAUAGUUCUAACCCACCUAGUCACAAAAUCUAAUCCAGUCUAUUCAAGUAAUGCAAUCCGAAAACUAAACCCCAAUUCCGCAAUCACUCCAAAACUCACACAAAUCAGUUACCUUACAAUAAACCAUCAUAAUCAACACACAAAACACAGACAUUGGUCUGAAUGAAACCUCAUGAUCAUGAUAAAAAAAGAUCACCAUAUCACCCCCAAAAUCAACAGCUUAAUUACCUCUAGUAGCAUUCGCCAUUUCUCUCUUGCUCUCCCGAAGCGCCUCUGCAACAAUUCAGAUCCAAUUCGCAAAGAAAAAGCUUGAAAUUCAGCUCAAAUUGCAAGUUAGCGAAACGAAUUAGAUUGGGGGGAAGCAGAGCUCUCAUUGUCCAACCUUGAGAAUGAUAAGAAGAGAAAGCGGCAUCCUCUUGACUCUUGACUGAGAAGGUGAGACGGGCAUCAAUAAGAAACAUCAAGUAAUAUGAGGAAACCAUGGGCGCGCAGGUAUUGGUGCAUCAGAAAAAGCCAAGUCGGGUUGAUUGGAGGUUGCCAUAUGAGAUCUAGAUGUUAAUUUUUUUUUUUUUUUUUUUUUUUUUUUUUUUUUCUUGGGAACGUGAAGAUGAACAACUGCGAACCCAGAUGAAAUAAUUAAGAAACGCAUGUACGAACCCCAAAAUUGAAGAGAAACAGCUUCAAUCUUGGAUUUUGUGAUGAAUACGGCUGGUAAUUAUUUGAUUUGGAUUGAGUUAGAAAGUUGAUUUGAGAUCGCCAUAUCAGAUCUCGAUGAACAAUUUGGUUUUCUGGGAAUUUUAUGAACAACUGCGAACACAAAACUGAAGAGAUACAGCUUGAAUUCCAAUCGAGAGGAACAGACUUCGGUUUUGUGAUGUGUUCUGGGUUUUCGAUUUGGUACCUUUAUGAAAUUUAAGUAUUUGGGUUAAUCGGAUUUUGAUUUGGUUUGUUGUAAUGUUCUUGGUGGAGGUUGAAGUUGAUUUGAAUCAAUUAGUGUGUUUUGAUAUGAUCUGAUCGAAUCGGAAUCGAAAGAAAGUAAAUCUGAAGUUUACAGUAAUAUUUUUUACGUCGUGGUGAAAAGUAAAUUUUUUAGGGUUUAGGGUGAUUCGGGGUUUAGAGGUUAGGGUUUAGGGUAAAUUAGGGUUUAGGGUAAUUCGGGGUUUAGAGGUUAGGGGUUAGGGUAAUUCGGGGUUUAGAGGUUAAGGGUUUAGGGUUUAGGGUAUUAGGGUUUAGGGUUGAGAGAAGGAAGAAUAGCAGAGAAGACAUUCUAACACAAUCACACCAAUUACAUAUCAAAUUAGAAUCAAAGCUAUAAAGAAAAGUUUGUUUUCCCUACCUGAAUAUAUGAAAACCAACAGCCAAAAUCUCCCAAGAGAAGCAAUAAAACUCCAAAAGCAAUCGCGCUAUAUAAGCACCCAAACAAUCCCAAAGCAAUCAAGCCACCUAAACAAGAUUACAACAGUUUGUACCCGAAUUUUAGAAAAGCUGAAACUGAACAACUGGGUUUGAAAAGAUGAGAGAGAUUCAAACUUACUAGAGUUGGACGAGAUAAACAAGAAGUUUCAAAUCCUGGACAGUGUCCCUAACGACUCUUUGAAGCUACUGAGAAGUGUAGAUUUUCUUUGAAGCUUUCGGGUGAGUGAAUUGAUGUUUGGAACGAAAUAGGAGAAGGAAGAAUCGGGAAAAAAGGAAGAAGGAGGACGUGUAUGGUCGAGAGAUACAAAUCAAUGGCAAAGAGCAAGCAACGUGUUCUUCUAGAAGGGGACUAGCUGUUUCUUUUCCCCCCAAUCAGAUAAUUCCACACAAAGAAUAAUCAAUUCUUAACCAUAAAAUAAAACACACAAAGAAAAAAAAAAAUAAAAACAA